Molecule: long non-coding RNA, 541 nt
Organism: Capsicum annuum
Lineage: Eukaryota; Viridiplantae; Streptophyta; Magnoliopsida; Solanales; Solanaceae
Exons: 2
Source: RefSeq, a predicted model, not a curated record
UGUAUGGCCAUACAUGUUUUAUGGAGUUGAGAAAAAAGUGGACAUUUUUCGAUAGUGGGAGGGGGCAAUUUCGACCAUUUCCCUUUAGUAAACCAAACCAAAACCCUAAUCUUUCCCUAUAAAUAACAACAACAAUUCGCCGCCAUAGAUUUACUGCUUCAACAUCAUUAAAAGUUCUUUUGCAGUCAAGUUUGUUGGUUGAUUGAUGGGAUGUUAUUGAGCACCAAAAUACAUGGUCUUUCAUUUUAUACUAUCGUCAGACUAUACGAGCAUGGUGCUACAUCAAGGUUUUUCUUAUUAUCUGAUGCUACUCGACUCUUCAUGUUACAUCAUGUGGCAAUUGAUGUUUUGUUAAUAAGAAAUACAUCAGUUACAUCUAUAAGUCGCAAUCUUGCUCAUCAGUUUUGUGUGGUGUUUACCACUGUCUGCCCUCUUCUAAGUCUUUGAAGAUUGGUUAGUUAACUCGACUAAUGUAAACGAUUUGAGCACCAAAAUACAUGGUCUGCCGUUUUUAUACGCAGACUAUACGAGCAUGGUGCUA